GAUGAACGCUGGCGGCGUGCUUAACACAUGCAAGUCGAGCGAGAAGUUUUGAAAAGAUUCUUCGGAUGAAAUUUAAAAUGGAAAGCGGCGGACGGGUGAGUAACGCGUAGGCAACCUGCCCCAUACAAAGGGAUAGCAUUUGGAAACGAAUAUUAAUACCUUAUGAAACUUAACUAGUGCAUGCUAGGUAGGUCAAAGAUUUAUCGGUAUGGGAUGGGCCUGCGUCUGAUUAGCUAGUUGGUGAGGUAACGGCUCACCAAGGCGACGAUCAGUAGCCGACCUGAGAGGGUGAACGGCCACAUUGGAACUGAGGCACGGUCCAAACUCCUACGGGAGGCAGCAGUGGGGAAUUUUGCACAAUGGGGGAAACCCUGAUGCAGCAACGCCGCGUGAACGAUGAAGGCCUUUGGGUCGUAAAGUUCUGUUCUAGGUGAUGAAAACUGACAGUAACCUAGGAGAAAGCCCCGGCUAACUCCGUG
This 479-nucleotide ribosomal RNA is filed under the name uncultured bacterium. Its description in RNAcentral is "partial 16S ribosomal RNA". It matches the Rfam family "Bacterial small subunit ribosomal RNA", at positions 28 to 507 of the family's 1533-position model. The record is from RNAcentral.